GGCGGACCGGUGCGGCCCGGCCGUUAAACCCCAACUCUUUAUGGUUGACCUCGGAUCAGGUAGGAAUACCCGCUGAACUUAAGCAUAUCAAUAAGCGGAGGAAAAGAAACCAACAGGGAUUGCCCCAGUAACGGCGAGUGAAGCGGCAACAGCUCAAAUUUGAAAUCUGGCCUCGGCCCGAGUUGUAAUUUGCAGAGGAUGCCUUUGGCGCGGUGCCUUCCGAGUUCCCUGGAACGGGACGCCACAGAGGGUGAGAGCCCCGUAUGGUCGGACACCAAGCCUUUGUAAGGCUCCUUCGACGAGUCGAGUAGUUUGGGAAUGCUGCUCAAAAUGGGAGGUAAAUCUCUUCUAAAGCUAAAUAUUGGCCAGAGACCGAUAGCGCACAAGUAGAGUGAUCGAAAGAUGAAAAGCACCUUGAAAAGGGGGUUAAACAGUACGUGAAAUUGUUGAAAGGGAAGGGCUCGUGACCAGACUUGUGCCAGGCGGCUCAUCCGGCGUUCUCGUCGGUGCACUCCGCCUGGCUCAGGCCAGCAUCGGUUCUUGCCGGGGGAUAAGAGCUCCGGGAACGUGGCCCCCUUCGGGGGGUGUUAUAGCCCGUUGCACGAUGCCCUGGCGGGGACCGAGGUUCGCGCUCCGCAAGGAUGCUGGCGUAAUGGUCACCAACCACCCGUCUUGAAACACGGACCAAGGAGUCGUCCAUCAGAGCGAGCGUUUGGGUGUCAAACCCGCACGCGUAAUGAAAGUGAACGCAGGUGAGAGCUUCGGCGCAUCAUCGACCGAUCCUGAUGUCUUCGGAUGGAUUUGAGUAAGAGUUUUGCUGGACGGACCCGAAAGACAGUGAACUAUGCUUGUAUAGGGUGAAGCCAGAGGAAACUCUGGUGGAGGCUCGCAGCGGUUCUGACGUGCAAAUCGAUCGUCAAAUAUGAGCAUGGGGGCGAAAGACUAAUCGAACUGUCUAGUAGCUGGUUACCGC
RNAcentral lists this ribosomal RNA (973 nucleotides) under Hapalocystis kickxii. Its description in RNAcentral is "eukaryotic LSU rRNA". It matches the Rfam family "Eukaryotic large subunit ribosomal RNA", at positions 1 to 961 of the family's 3401-position model. Lineage: Eukaryota; Fungi; Ascomycota; Sordariomycetes; Diaporthales; Sydowiellaceae. The record is from RNAcentral.